AGGCCCAGAAAGAGAAGCAGGGUCUGAUCCGCAGCCUCCGUGGCAGCUGUUGAUCAGCUUUUGCCUCUCUUUCUCUCUGGG
Non-coding RNA from Myotis brandtii (Brandt's bat), 81 nucleotides. NCBI's taxonomy places the organism in Eukaryota, Metazoa, Chordata, Mammalia, Chiroptera, Vespertilionidae. The record is from Rfam.